Molecule: ribosomal RNA, 250 nt
Filed under: Ochromonas sp. CCMP1393
Lineage: Eukaryota; Chrysophyceae; Chromulinales; Chromulinaceae
Description: partial Bacterial large subunit ribosomal RNA
Rfam family: Bacterial large subunit ribosomal RNA
Source: RNAcentral
CUGAAUACUACCUGAUGACCGAUAGCGGAUAAGUACCGUGAGGGAAUGGUGAAAAGUACCCCGGGAGGGGAGUGAAAUAGUACCUGAAACCAUGUGCUUACAAACCGUCGGAGCCUUGAGGGGUGACGGCGUGCCUUUUGAAGAAUGAGCCUGCGAGUUAGUGCUGUGUCGCGAGGUUAACCCGUGUGGGGUAGCCGUAGCGAAAGCGAGUCCGAAUAGGGCGAUUCCAGUCGCCGGGUCUAGACCCGAA